GGGGGACUCAGUGGUAGAGUGCAUGACUAGCAUGCGUGAGUUCCUGGGUUCAAUCCCCAGUACCUCUA
RNAcentral lists this transfer RNA (68 nucleotides) under Camelus bactrianus (Bactrian camel). It matches the Rfam family "tRNA". Rfam says of the family: Transfer RNA (tRNA) molecules are approximately 80 nucleotides in length. RNAcentral also lists the same sequence under 2 other names. Lineage: Eukaryota; Metazoa; Chordata; Mammalia; Artiodactyla; Camelidae. The record is from Rfam by way of RNAcentral.